Suricata suricatta (meerkat) is the source of this 7579-nucleotide long non-coding RNA. RefSeq lists it as uncharacterized. The transcript has 2 exons. The record is from RefSeq and is a predicted model, not a curated record. NCBI's taxonomy places the organism in Eukaryota, Metazoa, Chordata, Mammalia, Carnivora, Herpestidae.
AAGCCGAUCGCGCGGGAGGGGCUAGGGAUGCGCACGCGCAGGGGUCUUCCCGCGCUUGCGCGCAGUGAGUCGGUAUCACGCUCCGCCCCGAAACGUGUGGAAAGGCGCGGAUUACCGUUAGCCGCCGCCGCGGCGUCCUCUGAAACCGGCGUCGCCGCUGUGAAAGGCCUGGCAGUUGCGUUCUCCGCCGGACAAAGCCUGUGUUUCCUGCUCGCGAGGUUCCGGUGAGAAGACUGCGAGGUGAGGUGCGUCUGGGAGGCUCCCGGGCCGUGGCGCCGGUCACAUCUUCCUCGGCGUUAGAACCGGGAGGCGACGGGCUUGGCGGGAAUGGAACUGGGCUUAUGGAGCUUCACAAGAUCCUCCCGUUUAGUGUCUUUCGCUCGACCCAGCGCUUUGGUGAGGAAGACUUUGGGGCGGGGGACCCCACCCCGCCGGCUUCACUGCGUCCCCUCGGGGCUCGCGUGGUUUCCGUGCAGUCAAGCGGCGUGGAAUGAGCGCCCACGACCUGUGGGGGGGCCUCGGCCUUGUAGACUGCGCACCCAGAGGGCACGGCGCCUUCUGAAAGAUGCACAGUCCUCCUCAGAUGAUGACGAAGUGAACGCGUGUUGGUGGUGGGCAAAGAUAAAACAAGCAGCGCUAAACGUUAGAGAACGUGGACUGGACGUCCCCGCUACGCGACCUCCUUGCGAUUGCCGUUGGUACGCUAGGCUGGCUCAGCCUCCGUAUUUUUUGUGCAAAUCUAUGUCCGUACAUUUCUCUGUUUGGUAACAGAUUUCUCCACCUGACACUUGCGGAUUGCCCCCUGUCUGCCAGCUACUGCCCUAGGCCAGGGAUUGGCCACCUUCCUCCAUAAAGGGCCAGAUAGCGAAUAUUUUAGGCGCUGUGGGCCAAGAGGCACAAUGGAGCAUAUCAUGCAGGUAGUUGCAUAACCAAGGAGAAAAAUGUCUCUAACAUUUUUUUUUUAAUUGGUGGUAAUUUGAAAGACCCAGGUUGACGAGAGCUACUCCAUUUGGAAAGCUGACAUUUUGGGGGCUCCUCUGGGAUUAUGCGGGUUAAAUCAGCGACCCCUGGAGGAGAUAGUUUGGGGCGCAUACAGAACGAGUUGGACGCGCUCUUCAUUCUUGCGCUGGUGAGAUGAGGACGCCCUACUCUCACCCAGAGGACUCCCUUCUGCGGAGGUGAGUCUGUCGGGUCUGUUUUCAGGUUCAGUCUUUAUCUUCAUUACCUGUACAGGUCCCCUUAAGGGGCGCAGCCGCCAGAAAAACUUUAUUAGUCACUGCCUGCCAUCUGUGUUAAUUGUUGCUGUUUGUCUCGCGUUUUUGUCAUAUCUGUCCUUAAGAUGUGGCAAACCACCUCCUCCCCAUUAGAUCUCAUAAUCAGCCAUAUUCACGAUUUCAGGAAUGCUGUAUCCUCCACCAGCCAACAUGUCAAGCCAGGCUGACUCCGUAUGCUUUGCAGCCUCGAAUGGCCAACCUUUGAUGUGGGGUGGCCAUCCAAGGGAACCUUUGACCUGCAGGUUGUCAGGAGAACAAAAGAAGUAAUCUUCAGUGACCCCGGCCAUCUGGACCAGAUUCCAUACAUUAUAGGCUGGCAGUACCUUUUAGAAACACCCCCGCCCUGGUUAAAACCUUUUCUUCCUCCUAGGACCCUAGUGGCUAAGAAAUUACCGCCACCCUAAGAACCGGAAGUAUUAAGAGCCCUGGGCCCCAGAAGACAAUGAGGUUCUUUGGCCACCUUAUGUGCUGCCUCCCUCUGGUCCUGAGCCCUCUGUGUCAGCGGGCUCUCCCGAUGGUUCCCAUGCUUCCCGUCUUUACCCCGAGGUCCCCACUAACCCUUCCCCUUCAUCCUCCUCAACUGACACCGAGGAGGACCCUGAACCUCUGAGCCCACCCUCCACUGGGUCUGGGCGCAAACGAGGGGGAGAUCAAGUUCGGCUUGCGCCCACGGCCCUCCUGCUCCGGGCGGCAGGACCCCGGGGCCAGACGGUCAGAUGUUUCUGUCCUACCUACCCUUUGCCACUAGUGACCUUUAUAACUGGAAAAUGCAGAAUCCCCCUUUCUCAGAAAAACCUCAGGCUUUGAUUAGCCUUUUGGACAGCAUUCUGUUCACCCACCAGCCCACUUGGGAGGACUUCUCCAGGUCCUAUUCACCACCGAGUUCCACAGGGUGGUCCGAGGCCGGGAUGGCCGGCCAACGACGAAUGCGGCAGACAUUGACAGUUCCUUUCCCCUCACACACCCCGUUUGGGAUCACAGCUCGACUGAAGGUAGGGAGCGGCUGAAGGUCUACCGCCAGGUUCUUACGGGGGGUCUCAGGGCAGCAGCCAGGCGCCCUACCAAUUUGAGUAAGGUUAGCGGAGUCAUACAGGGAAAAGAUGAAUCCCCGGGAGCCUUCCUCAAGCGCCUGCUAGAGGUCUAUCGAAUGUUCACCCCCUUGGACCCUAUGGCUGAAGAAAACAGAAUUGCAAUAAAUCUCUCCUUUGUUAAUCAGUCUGCUCCGGAUAUUAGAAGGAAACUCCAAAAACUUGAGGGUUUUGAGGGAGAAGUGCUCAGCAAACUAGUGGCUAUAGCUACCAAGAUAUACAAUAACUGUGAUUCUCCAGAAGAUAGACCCAUGGAUUGCCAGGGGUCCUCCUGCCAGCCGGGUUGGGCGAAAAAUACCCAGAGCCCUGGGUGAAGGGCAGAGGAGGGGAAGGGAGAGAAGCUUCAAGGGAGGACCCUGUGGAGGGGGACUCUCAACCCCCAGAAAACAGGUGGCCAUCCCUUCCCCGGGACAUAUGCACAUAUUAUAAAAAGCCGGGACAUUGGGAAAACCAGUGCCCACAUCGCCCAAAGCCUCCUAAAAAGGUACUGGAACUGUCGGGCCUAGAUGAAUGAGGGGAACGGGGCUCAAACCCCCUCUUUGAGUCUUGGGUAACUCUAAAAGUGGAGGGGAAAGAUGUCCGCUUCCUGGCUGACUCGGGGGCAGAACAUUCUGUCGUAAAACAACCUUUGGGCCCCCUAAGCAAAAACCAAGCCUGGAUCCAAGGAGCAACAGGGAUGAACAUAUACCCCUGGACCACCCAAAGACAGGUGGAUCUAGGUAAUGGCCUCGUGACUCAUUCCUUUAUGGUCAUUCCCUAGUGCCCCUACCCCCUCUUGGGACGGGACUUAUUGACCAAAAUGAGGGCCCAGAUAUGUUUUGACCCUAAAGGAGUGACUGUCAACAAAGACCCCUUGGGCCCUCUGACUGUGAAACUAGAAGAUGAAUACCACUUGUUCAUGUUCCCUCCCACAGAGACUCAAAAUCUCCUACAGAAAUUAAAACAAACAAUUCCUGAGGUAUGGGCUGAAAAUAACCCCCCACGGAUGGCCAAACAUCGGGCCCCAAUUCUAGUAGCCCUAAAACCAGGGGUACACCUGCCCAGAUUCGACGGUUAUGGGACCAUGGUAUCUUAACACCAUGUCAAUCUGCCUGGAACACCCCCCUGCUGCCAGUCAAAAAGCCAGGAACAAAUGAUUGCCGGCCGGUGCAGAACCUACGGGAAGUAAACUCUUGGACUGAGGAUAUCCAUCCAAUGGUACCAAACCCAUACACCCUCCUGGGCACCCUGCCACCCGACCACAAAGUAUACACGGUGUUCGACUUAAAAGACGCGUUCUUCAGCCUCCGCCUAGCCCCAGUCAGCCAACACCUCUUUGCAUUUGAAUGGUGAGAUUCAAUGGACAACUCACCUGGACCUGGUUGCCACAAGAGUUCAAAAUUCCACCAGCAAUCUUCGAUGAGGCUGUCCGUGAGGGCUGAGGUGAGCUCCGACGAGAACAUACAGAGUCCGCCACGGGUUAGGUUCCUGGCACUCAUGGCCCUGAAUCCUGCCACCCUACUGCCCGAUUCCUGUGACACCAUCCUUCACUGCUGCUCUGAGACUCUGGAGGCCAUCCAGGGCACCAGACCGGACCUGCGGGAUAUGCCAUGGCCUGACCCAGAUGUCUCCCUCUACACAGAUGGGAGUAGCUUCACGGAACAAGGUACGAGGAGGGCAGGGGCGUCAGUCACCACCCUUACUGAAGUUUGUUGGUCCACAGCUUUGCCUGUAGGGCCAUCCACACAAAAAGCAGAACUUACUGCUCUUAGGCAGGCAUUAAUCAUAAGCAAGGACAAAAUUGCCAACAUCUACACGGACAGCUGAUAUGCAUUUGCCAUGGCUCAUGUCCACGGGGCCAUAUAUCAGGAGAGGGGCUUACUAACUGGAGGGAAAAGAAAUUAAAAACAAAGCUGAGAUUUUACAGCUCCUGGAAGCCUUAUGGCUCCCGCGGAAGUUGGCAGUAAUCCACUGCCCAGGACACUAAAAGGGAAAUUCCUCCGAGGCUCAGGGUAACCGAUUAGCUGACCAUGCUGCCAGGGAGGCAGCUUUACCCGGUAGGGUCCUCUUAGCCAUUCCUAACCGGGACUGCCAGACAUACUCAGACAUACUCAGACCAGGAUGAUAAAAACUUCAGCUCUCUAACAAAUACAUACUCCAAGGCUUCAGGCUGGAGAUGCACAGUAGAUGGACACACUAUACUGCCAGACAAAGUAGCCAAACAACUCCUAACGGAUAUACACAAGGCUACCCACCUGGGAACGAAAAAAACAAAAGAACUUAUUCUACAUACAUAGUGACCUUAAAAUAUUUGACCUCAACCAAAUAAUAGAGGAUAUUGCCUCUAACUGCAGGGCUUGCCAUGUUGUCAACCCAAAGGGCACUCAUGGGCCUCCAGGAGGGAAACGAGAAAGGGGCCAAUUGCUGGGAGCCCACUGGGAAGGGGACUUUACAGAAAUAAAACCUGGACGAUAUGGGUAUAAAUACUUACUAGUGUUUGUAGACACCUUCUCAGGAUGGCCUGAAGCCUUCCCACAAAAACAACCUGCCUCCACUGUGGCUAAGUGAUUGCUGGAAGACAUCACCCCCUGGCAUGGCUGUCCCGUUACCCUAGGGUCAGACAACAGACCCACAUUCAUCUCUCAGGUAAUGUAAGGACUAAUGUUCGCGUUGGGGUACAUUGGAAAUUACAUCAUGUGUAUCACCCCCAAAGUUCAGGCCAGGUAGAAAGGAUUAACAGAACUCUAAAAGAGACCCUAACAAAAUUAACCUUAGAAUGGACCCCGCUGGAAUGGACCUCAUACUGUAAUCCUGACCACCCCGACGGCUGUAAAGGUGGACGGCAACUGCACCUGGAUUCACCACUCUCCGGUUAAACUGCUGCCCGGCAAGAGACCAGGACAGACCACCAAGGAAAGCCAGAGCCAAUUGAAGGCCCAGUGUCACCCCGUGGAUCCUCUAAAGAUAAGACUUUGUUGCUCUUAACCCUUCCAACUUUUUUUUUUACUAACUCUCUUCUCCAUAAAAGCGGACAAAAGUCAAAACCCUCAUCAACCUGCCAACACUACGUGGCAAAUAGUCCAUUUUGCUAUCAGAGACAUUUUAAACUCAUCCCAGACCUCCCUGCCCUCCACCUACUUCCCCGAUUUACAAUUUGAUUUAGGGGAAUUACUCCAACUGUCUUGGGCUGAUAGUUUCAUUCAGAAACAUUAUUUCUGUGCGUGCCCUGGGCAUACCCAGGUAAAGACCAUUGGAGAAAAUGGGGAGGAGAAUCCUGUUGUGCCUCCUGGGACUGUGUGUCUACCGGACACAUUUGGUGGUCCGCCCCAUACAAAACGGACCUUAUCAUCCUUUCCCGGAGUUCAGAAUACCUCCCUUGUAAGACUAACGUAGGUAAGUGUAACCCAGUAGUCCUUAAGUUCACGGAAUCUGGUAAAAGGGACAGCCGCUGGAAAGAGGGCCUCACAUGGGGAAUUCGCCUAUACUGAAAAACGAGACUUGGAGCAAGAGACCCAGGGGCACUGUUCACAGUCCGCCAGAUAGUCCAAUAUGGGACCCCCUCCGGGAUUGGCCCAAAUAAAAUUCUAGUCCCAGGGGACAAAGUCCCAACCAACUGUAGCCGCUGCCCCCCACCCUCCCCCCCUCUCCUAAUUCUUCCUGGUCUCAGGAAAUCUUACCUAUGAUCCAGCCAGGGCCCUUUGACAUACUUAAUGCCUCCUUCCUGGUCUCACACGAUUCCCGACCCAACCUCACAAACCACUGUUGGCUUUGCCUCAGUGCUAACCCUCCGUACUACGAUGCUGUAGCUACAGCCGCCAGCAUUAAGCUCACUCAGCUCGCGUCCUCCUGUAGAUGGCAGUCCUCAAAGGGGCUCCCCGUCCAGUCAGUUUCUGGCCAGGGGCUCUGUGUUGGGAACCCCUCUUUUGUGUAUUCGUACCUCUGUAAUCAGAGCCACCAGUAUAAUUCAUCAGGUUCUCUGGUCCUGCCCAAUAACACCUGGUGGGCCUGCACUUCAGGGUUAACGCCCUGUUUACACACACAAGUGUUAAACCAGACUGGUGGCUUCUGCCUAUUGGUCCACCUCAUCCCUGAGUCUCAUACCGUACGGAAGAACAAAUGAUCGCCCUCUGGGAGCCCUGAGCCCCCUCCCUGGCACGAAAAAAAAGAGAUUGCUACUUCAGUCUUACCCUCCUCCCUCCUUGGAAAAGGGGUUACCGGGGCAUUAGGUGCGGGAACAAGUGCGUUAGUUCAAGGCCAAAAUUAUAAGAGUCUACGCUUAGCUAUUGACUGACUUACAAGAAAUAGAAAAAUCUCUCACCUACAAGAAUCACUCUUUUUGGAUGAGGUUGCCCUACAAAAUAGAAGGGGUCUAGACCUCCUCCAACAAGGGGGACUCCACACUGCACUCGGGGGAAAAUGCUGCUUUUACGCAAAUCAUUCAGGGGUUGUAAAAGAAUCCAUGAGCCUAUUAAGAAAAAGGCUUCAUGAGAGAAAACUUGAAAGGGAAAGCUCCCAAUCCUGGUACAAGUCCCUGUUCAACUGGUCUCCCUGGCUGACCGCCCUGAUCUCAGCUCUCGCAGGCCCAUUAAUCAUACUCCUCCUCCUGUUUACUUGUGGACCCUGCGUCCUCAAUGCUUUUGUUACAUUUAUUAUGGAGCAGAUCUCCCCUGUCUAGCGUGUGGUCCUCUGAUCCCAGUUUGCCCAAAUAAAACCUACCCCCGGCCCAUAUGAGACCACCAUAGACUAUGACGCCAAUACAUCCCAAGGAUGUGAGAUGUACUAACACUCAAGAGGGGAAUGAAAGACCUAGGUUGACCAGAGCUACUCCAUUUUUAAAAGUUUCUCCAUUCAGCCCAAACCAAAAACAAGCUCUGGCCACCCCUGGAAUUCUUAGAAUAACUGCCAGAGAGAAACAACCAAUCAGGAUGCUGCCAGAUCACGAGAUGGGGAACUGGCAGUUAGUUUCUAGAACCACCAGAUCAUGAGAUGGGGAACCGGUAAUUAGUUACUAAGGUUCGAACAUACCCUGAUGGCUCUAAACCAGUGGAAAAAGGAAGGCCAACUAGGUCUAACGCAAGAACAAACCAAUCAUGUAAAAGGUAACCUAAACCGCCAUGGAAAUCCCCUAAAGCCCUUUAAAAGAGGCCUGUGAGCCGACUCCGAGGUCGCCAUUUUGGAUGGUGGACCCCAGCGUGCUGGAGGUUUGGCCUGACAAUAAACGGUCCUUGCUAAAUUGCA